UACGUAGGGUGCAAGCGUUGUCCGGAAUUAUUGGGCGUAAAGAGCUCGUAGGCGGUUUGUCGCGUCUGCUGUGAAAACUCGAGGCUCAACCUCGAGAGGUCGGUGGAAACCGUUUGGCUAGAGUCCGGAAGAGGAGAGUGGAAUUCCCGGUGUAGCGGUGAAAUGCGCAGAUAUCAGGAAGAACACCCGUGGCUAAGGCGGCUCUCUAGUACGGUACUGACGCUGAGACGCGAAAGCGUGGGGAGCGAACAGG
Molecule: ribosomal RNA, 253 nt
Filed under: uncultured bacterium
Lineage: Bacteria
Description: partial 16S ribosomal RNA
Rfam family: Bacterial small subunit ribosomal RNA
Source: RNAcentral